RNAcentral lists this small RNA (536 nucleotides) under Pongo abelii (Sumatran orangutan). RNAcentral's name for it is "processed transcript". The record is from RNAcentral. Lineage: Eukaryota; Metazoa; Chordata; Mammalia; Primates; Hominidae.
GCGGCCGCCGCCGAGUCGUGCUCAAGCGCCUCGGCUCGCAGCGCGAGCUGGCGCAGCUCGACCAGAGCAUCUGCAAGCGGGCCACCGGCCGGCCCCGCUGCGACCUGCUGCAGGCCAUGCCCCGGACCGAGUUCGCGCGCCUCAACGGCGACGUGCGUCUCCUCACGCCCGAGGCGGUGGAAGGCUGGUCGGACCUGGUGCACUGCCCCUCGCAGCGCCUUCUCGACCGCCUGGUGCGCCGCUACGCGGAGACCAAGGACUCGGGCAGCUUCCUGCUCCGCAACCUCAAGGACUCGGAACGCAUGCAGCUGCUGCUGACCCUGGCCUUCAACCCUGAGCCGCUGGUGCUACAGCAUAUUCCUCCAACACACCCUCCAUACUUCUGUGUCCCCGAUGGCAACUAUAGGAGUGGCUGGAGCUACAUCAAACUGUGUCCAUCAUUUGAGUGUCUUACUGAAACCUAUGCUGCCCUGCCCUUCAACAGAAAUUAUGUCAAGUGGUGGAGACAGAUAACAGAGAACAAGCAAGUCAGAAGA